GCAUCUGCUGGUUCUUCCGGGGAUUGUGUCGCUCCGUUUCAAGCUACAGUUGCCACACUCAGAGCCCUGCAGCCUGACUUAUUUUAAUUUUAUGUAUAUGGAUAUUUUGCCUACAUGUACGUCUAUGCAGCAGCUGUGUGCCUGGUGCCCACGGAGGCCAGAAAGAGGGCACUGGCUCCCCUGUGACUGAGGUUAUGGACUCCUAACUGUAAGCUACCCAGUAUGGGUUCUGUGAACGCAUGUCCUCUGGAAGAGCAGCCAGCGCUCUUAACUGCUGAGCCACCUCUCCAGCCCUGAGUUUCCACGUUUAUAUGUUACCACAUUUUGACUUCUUAAGAAAAAUCUGCAGUCUAAUUUUUUUCAAAUUAUCAUGCGUAAUGAUGUAUGUGUGUAUUUCAGGGACUUUUCAAAAAGUUAUUAAAAAUACAUUUCUUUCUUUC
This is a long non-coding RNA of Psammomys obesus (fat sand rat), 440 nucleotides long. RefSeq lists it as uncharacterized. Lineage: Eukaryota; Metazoa; Chordata; Mammalia; Rodentia; Muridae. The record is from RefSeq and is a predicted model, not a curated record. The transcript is spliced from 2 exons.